This 501-nucleotide ribosomal RNA is filed under the name uncultured bacterium. RNAcentral's name for it is "bacterial SSU rRNA". It matches the Rfam family "Bacterial small subunit ribosomal RNA", at positions 10 to 507 of the family's 1533-position model. The record is from RNAcentral.
AGUUUGAUCCUGGCUCAGAUUGAACGCUGGCGGCAUGCCUUACACAUGCAAGUCGAACGGUAACAGGUCUUCGGAUGCUGACGAGUGGCGAACGGGUGAGUAAUACAUCGGAACGUGCCCGAUCGUGGGGGAUAACGCAGCGAAAGCUGUGCUAAUACCGCAUACGAUCUACGGAUGAAAGCGGGGGACUCGCAAGGGCCUCGCGCGGACGGAGCGGCCGAUGGCAGAUUAGGUAGUUGGUGGAUAAAAGCUUACCAAGCCGACGAUCUGUAGCUGGUCUGAGAGGACGACCAGCCACACUGGGACUGAGACACGGCCCAGACUCCUACGGGAGGCAGCAGUGGGGAAUUUUGGACAAUGGGCGCAAGCCUGAUCCAGCCAUGCCGCGUGCAGGAUGAAGGCCUUCGGGUUGUAAACUGCUUUUGUACGGAACGAAAAAGCCUUCUCUAAUAAAGGGGGUGAAUGACGGUACCGUAAGAAUAAGCACCGGCUAACUACGUG